RNAcentral lists this ribosomal RNA (217 nucleotides) under Pheidole lattkei. RNAcentral's name for it is "partial large subunit ribosomal RNA". The record is from RNAcentral. Lineage: Eukaryota; Metazoa; Arthropoda; Insecta; Hymenoptera; Formicidae.
GAAUUUUAUAUAGAUUUGGUAGAUAAUUUAAUUUGAAAUUUAUUACAUUUAUAUUUUAUUGGGAGGAUGGUUAAAUUAAAUAAACUUUAAAAUAUAUGAACCAUUAAUGUAUGAGUUAGUGAGUAAAGAGUGAUUAGAUUAAGUUUAGAUAGAAUUAAUUACCUUAGGGAUAACAGCGUUAUAUUUUUAGAGAGAUCUUAUUAAUAAAAAUGAUUGC